This 107-nucleotide small nucleolar RNA is filed under the name Helianthus annuus (common sunflower). Its description in RNAcentral is "Plant small nucleolar RNA R71". It matches the Rfam family "Plant small nucleolar RNA R71". Rfam says of the family: R71 is a member of the C/D box family of snoRNAs containing the C (UGAUGA) and D (CUGA) box motifs. Multiple nearly identical copies of this snoRNA have been identified in Arabidopsis, and it is thought to function as a 2'-O-ribose methylation guide for 18S ribosomal RNA. Lineage: Eukaryota; Viridiplantae; Streptophyta; Magnoliopsida; Asterales; Asteraceae. The record is from RNAcentral.
AGGCCGUGAUGGGGACACUUGCGUAAUAGCUCCUUGAACCUUUCCCAAGUUUCAUAUAAGGAUUCCCCGUCCUCUUGCGAAUAUGUAUUAAUUUCAGUCAUUAACUU